AGCGAACGCUGGCGGCAUGCCUAACACAUGCAAGUCGAACGAGACCUUCGGGUCUAGUGGCGCACGGGUGCGUAACGCGUGGGAACCUGCCCUUAGGUUCGGAAUAACUCCCCGAAAGGGGUGCUAAUACCGGAUAAUGUCUUCGGACCAAAGAUUUAUCGCCUUUGGAUGGGCCCGCGUUGGAUUAGCUAGUUGGUAGGGUAAAAGCCUACCAAGGCUACGAUCCAUAGCUGGUCUGAGAGGAUGAUCAGCCACACUGGGACUGAGACACGGCCCAGACUCCUACGGGAGGCAGCAGUGGGGAAUAUUGGACAAUGGGCGAAAGCCUGAUCCAGCAAUGCCGCGUGAGUGAUGAAGGCCUUAGGGUUGUAAAGCUCUUUUACCCGGGAUGAUAAUGACAGUACCGGGAGAAUAAGCUCCGGCUAACUCCGUG
This 433-nucleotide ribosomal RNA is filed under the name uncultured bacterium. Its description in RNAcentral is "partial 16S ribosomal RNA". It matches the Rfam family "Bacterial small subunit ribosomal RNA", at positions 29 to 507 of the family's 1533-position model. The record is from RNAcentral.